UAGUGUCAAUAUUAUUAAAUAUGUUAGUGAUGAAAGUAUCAUUCAUAUCGACACCUCAUAGGCCAAAUGGUGUAACUCACAAAAUAGCCGAAAUUAAGUUAGUUAAGUACAUAUCUCGAUUCUUCUCCAAAAAAUACAUUAGCUGGCCAAAUGAUAUAACCCACAAGAAAAACUAAAUUAUAAAAAAAACUGAAAAACAUAAAAUCUCCAAGUUUGGAGUAACUGUUUUAAAGAGUGGCCAGUUGAUGUAUCCCCCCAAGUGUAACCCUAUUUCUUAAAUGAUGGACCUAACAUGAACAAGACCAAAUGCAGUAAGCCAUAUUCAAAAAUAAGGUAAAAAAAAAUGUGCAUAAUUGUCAGGAGCCAUAUAAUGUAACCCACACCUGCUCACAUGUAUAUUAGCGUAAGAACUCAAGGAGUGAUCUGUGUUUGUUGUUUUGCUGAUAUUUUCAAUUUUUCUAAAAAAGUGCCAGACUAAUUUAUAAUAAAAGAGUGAAUUUGUCAAUAAUUAUCAUAAGGGCCAUAAUAAUGACGUCAAGCUCUUGAAGUAAAAAAAUUUUAGUUCUUGCUUUGGAGAGGAAUAUAACAAUUGAGGAUGACACCAUCCAGGAGGCAACUCAAAGUUUCGCUUCUUUAGUAGAUUCAGAUGCCAUUUAAAAAGAGCAAGAAGCACAUGAAAAUGUUGAAGACAGUGACAUAAACAAAUAUAUUUUGCAUCAGCUUACUCCAGUAGAACCAUUUUACUGUAUGACACCUGAUCAAGAACUAACAGAUAUUUUGACAAACAACAUAAAAGAAGCCGGAAGUUGUGAAAUACUAGCUGAUAAAAUAAUUUCUGAUUUUAUUCCAUCCACAGACGCAUUACCUGACAUUGCCUGUGAAUAUGUAAUUUUUACAACUGAACCACACAUAGAGUCUAUUCCAAAUGAUUUUCAUUUUCAAAUUCAGGAGAAGAUUAACUCUGAAGAGGAACCAGAAAUAUCGGGCAAUAAUAUCGAUCAAAAUGGGUUGGCAGACAUCAUUGAAGCCCAUACUCAGCAGAUUCCCACACUGGUAGUAGAAGAAGAAAUAGUUGAUGAAGCUGGUGUUAAAAAGAAGAACACGGGUAGUUUUAGAGAUAUACAAAAAAAGCUGCGUCUUUCAGGAAACCAAUAUCUACAACGAAAUAAAAAAGUAGUAAGAGAGAAACAAAUAAAAGAAAAUCCUUGCCAAAACAAAAAAUGCCAAUAUAAAUGUGCCACAAUUUUUACAGAAGAUUAAAGACAGGCAAUAUUUAAUAAUUUCUACGGUUUUACAAGUGAAGAGGAACAGAAAAAUUUUAUGUUAUAAUGCGUUAAAAGGGUUCCAAUAAAGCGCCGCUAUGGUGCUACUGGUGAAGAAAGCCGCCGAAAAUGUUCAAAGGCCUACUAUUUACCGCUAAAUGGUGAACAGAAACAAGUAUGUCAGCAAUUUUUGUUGGCUACUUUUUGUGUUUCUCAAAGAAGACUAAUGUAUUUGGAUGAAAAUAAAACUGAUAUGAAUACUCCAAAACCUGAGGGCCGCGGUAAGUUUGAACCCAAAAAUAAAACUCCUAGUAACGUUGUUGAUUAUUUAUGUUGUUCUUAAUUAUAUUUAUGAUGUUGUCGGGGAAAAACUACAAAACGUUACUUACCACAAGAGUUUAAAAAUGUAGCCAGUUUGUAUAAAAUCUAUAAACAGAACUGCUCAGAAAGUGAUCAACAAUCGGUUAAAGAAAAAUUCUUUAGAGAUUUUUUUAAAAGAAAACAUAAUAUAGGAUUCCAUCUGCCUAAAAAAGACAAAUGCUCGUUUUGUGAGUCCCAAGCAAAAGGAGAAACCAACAAUGAUGCACUUACUUUGCAUUUACGAGAAAAAGAAAACUCUUAUAAACUCCAUCUUAAAGAACAACAACGAGCCAAAACCAAUCUAAAUUUUGUAUGCGCUAGCUUCGACUUACAAAAAGUUCUCAAUACUCCCCAUGGAGACAGUAUGCUCCUCUAUUAUUCGCGAAAAUAUUCCUUCUAUAAUGAAACGUUUUAUGAGUCCGGCACUAAAAACGUUUAUUGUUUUCUUUGGGGUGAAGAGGAUGGUAAGAGAGGAGCGAAUGAAAUUUGCACAAUAAUGGAGAUGUAUCUUCAACGAGUGGAUGCUCGAAAAAUUAUAACGGAAGUGGCCUUGUUUUGUGACUCUUGUCCAGGGCAGAAUAAAAGUCACCAACUGUUAAGUUGCAUUGCUUGGUUUAUUAGAUCUGUUUCAGUUAAUAUUCAACAAAUAUCCCUUUCGUUUACCAGGUCACACCUAUAUGCCUGUUGAUUCUGUCCAUCCUUCUAUAGAAACGGCUAUAAAAAGAAAGACAAUUUGGGCUCCAUCGGAAUGGCCUACUAUUAUUCGUAAUGCAUGAAACGCAAAGCCAUACGAAGUUAUAAAGCUUGUAUUUUCGAGUUUUAAAACUUUAAAACAUUUCAGAAAAAUAUUUACCCUGAAUUGCUCAAGAAAACUGAUUCAGGAAAACAGAUUAAAUUUAAAAGUAUUCGAAGUUAUGUUUGCCAAAGACUGUGAUCAAAUAAAACUCUUCUACAUAUUUCAGGAAACUGAAGAGCACCAGUUACUAACUGUACCAAAAAAGAAUCAACUCACAAGGCACUCCAAACAAGUAAAGCCAUCUCAAUUAUACCAAAGUAAACUUUCAGUUUCGGAACAGAAAUUUAAGGAUCUAGAAAACCUUGUUAAAAAGGCAAUAAUACCAGGGAUGUACCACACCGAAUAUAUAAAUCUAAAACCCAGCUCUGAUCUACCAGACGUUUUAUCAGAAACUGAUGAAGAAGAUGAACUUAGUGAUGAUGAGAUACCCCUUAAAGAAUUACAACAACAGCUAUUGCAGAAAUCUACAAAAAAAAUUUAAAGUUUUUUUUUGUAUUUGCGCAGGUAUUUUUUACUUAAGUAUUAAGUAAAAUUUACUUAAGUAAAAAAAUUAUAAAAUAAAAGUUUUUUAUUUA
Molecule: long non-coding RNA, 2993 nt
Organism: Anthonomus grandis grandis
Lineage: Eukaryota; Metazoa; Arthropoda; Insecta; Coleoptera; Curculionidae
Exons: 3
Source: RefSeq, a predicted model, not a curated record